GUGCAAAGGCAGAGGCUGUGGGAGCAGCAUCAAGCAAGACUUCGGGCAGUGAUUCUAACUAUUGCCCAUGAACACCGUGGCUGGGACGACUUUGACGAGGCAAUUUAUUACUUACGCAUAGAACACUGGCUGUGCUGAAACUGGGAGCGCAAACAGCCCCUUGUUUUCUAAUUUAGAGACUUGCAUCUUUUCGACACUCAACAGUAUCAAGACACUCUGCUACUACAGAUUGAUUUCCACCAUCAACACCUUUACCUCUUCCCGCCUGAAAAUAAAAUAUGAAAUAUAACAAGUAAAUCGCAAUCUACCUUGAAUCUUCUGGAGAGGGAAAGAAGAAACCAUGUCUAGACAAGGUGCUGGAAAGACCCAGGGAAGACACAGAUUUGUUCCUUUCUCCACCAUGCCUCACUAUGUGUCACCAAACUUAAUUCAGCAUCAGUGCUCUCAAAUACUCCAUCCUACAAUUAGAGAAACCACUGAAUUCAGAUAUCCUCCACCAAAAUGGUAACGAAGAUUAGAGAAAGUGACGCCCAUGUAUAGCGGAGAAGUGGAUUGCGGAUAUAACAAGGAGCACAGUAAAGUAAGAUGUAAAACACCUUAUUCAACAACAAGGAUGCUGACUCAAAAGCAAAAGUUGAAGCACAUUAUGAAUGAAUGUCAAAAGGGAAAAAUCUAAAGCUAACAUAAAAGAGUGUGACUACAUCAAAUUGGAUAAGGAAUAGUAUUUUAUAGCCAAUUAAUGAAUAUUUAAAGUACAUCAACCUCAUCUCUUUGAAACACAUAUGAACAUAGUUGAGCUAGAGGGUGACAUGAUGUAUAUAGUUAAUCCAGAGGCAUUUUUGUUAAAAUUUUUCAACAGUUUUAAUCACAUGUAUUUAGUGAUUCAUAUAAUUGCUAAAUUAUAAUCUAACCAAGUAGCCAGAAGUAACUUUUAUAUCAUUUGUUACAUAAUCAUAAUUGGCCAGAUUGUUCCAAACUCACAAGUUUAUGAAUGAUGACUGUAAAAGAAUUUGAAUUGGUCAAUUAUAAAGAACAAUGCAUCCCUUAAUUAAUACAUAUUUUAAUAAAAUUCAUCACUCCAGAAA
This 1085-nucleotide non-coding RNA is filed under the name Pan troglodytes (chimpanzee). The record is from RNAcentral. Lineage: Eukaryota; Metazoa; Chordata; Mammalia; Primates; Hominidae.